RNAcentral lists this ribosomal RNA (413 nucleotides) under uncultured bacterium. RNAcentral describes it as "bacterial SSU rRNA". It matches the Rfam family "Bacterial small subunit ribosomal RNA", at positions 505 to 916 of the family's 1533-position model. The record is from RNAcentral.
GUGUCAGCCGCCGCGGUAAGACGUAGGGGGCGAGCGUUGUCCGGAAUCACUGGGCGUAAAGGGCGUGUAGGCGGCUUUGCAAGUCAGUGGUGAAACACCUGGGCUCAACCGAGGUAUUGCCGUUGAAACUGCAUCGCUUGAGGGUAGAAGAGGAGUGUGGAAUUCCCGGUGUAGCGGUGAAAUGCGUAGAGAUCGGGAGGAACACCAGUGGCGAAGGCGGCACUCUGGUCUACCCCUGACGCUGAGGCGCGAAAGCUAGGGGAGCAAACAGGAUUAGAUACCCUGGUAGUCCUAGCCGUAAACGAUGGGCACUAGGUGUAGGAGGUUUAGAUACCUUCUGUGCCGUAGCUAACGCAUUAAGUGCCCCGCCUGGGAAGUACGGUCGCAAGGCUGAAACUCAAAUGAAUUGACGG